GGAGGCGAAACCCAGCUAGUUUGAGGUGCAACAAAUUGCGGUGCUGGGGUCGUGGGUUCGACUCCCGCCGCCUCCACCA
RNAcentral lists this transfer RNA (79 nucleotides) under Deltaproteobacteria bacterium. Its description in RNAcentral is "tRNA-OTHER". It matches the Rfam family "tRNA". Rfam says of the family: Transfer RNA (tRNA) molecules are approximately 80 nucleotides in length. Their secondary structure includes four short double-helical elements and three loops (D, anti-codon, and T loops). The record is from RNAcentral. Lineage: Bacteria; Pseudomonadati; Myxococcota; Myxococcia.